This 393-nucleotide unclassified non-coding RNA is filed under the name fungal sp. RNAcentral's name for it is "partial internal transcribed spacer region". The stretch from base 1 to 46 matches the Rfam family "Eukaryotic small subunit ribosomal RNA", at positions 1786 to 1831 of the family's 1831-position model. The record is from RNAcentral. Lineage: Eukaryota; Fungi.
AAGUCGUAACAAGGUUUCCGUAGGUGAACCUGCGGAAGGAUCAUUAACACGUUAUCCACGUAUUCUCUUAUCCACGUAACCGCGAACUGUGCUCCCCGUUGGCUGACCUCAUGGCUUGUCUGGUUUUGGUUCUUAGUGGGCUUCUCGGAGCACACCAGAGCUGGACUCUCAUACUCCUCACGGAGUGUGGCCGUGUAACUAGUUGUCCGGGCUUAUUGACUCUUCUCGUCACCCUACCACUAUGGGGCGAUGGGGAGGACCCCAUACCAAACUGUUUCACCGCAUUUUACAAUUUUGGCUAAUUCUAAACGUUCAUGGGAGAAAUCCUAAUGAAUAUGACUAAGAUUUUAUCUUAACUAAGCACAACUCUUAGCAAUGGAUAUCUUGGUUCUC